This 29-nucleotide ribosomal RNA is filed under the name Fusarium fujikuroi. RNAcentral's name for it is "partial 28S ribosomal RNA". Lineage: Eukaryota; Fungi; Ascomycota; Sordariomycetes; Hypocreales; Nectriaceae. RNAcentral also lists the same sequence under 23 other names. The record is from RNAcentral.
UUGACCUCGGAUCAGGUAGGAAUACCCGC